This is a long non-coding RNA of Galeopterus variegatus (Sunda flying lemur), 2405 nucleotides long. RefSeq lists it as uncharacterized. NCBI's taxonomy places the organism in Eukaryota, Metazoa, Chordata, Mammalia, Dermoptera, Cynocephalidae. The transcript has 2 exons. The record is from RefSeq and is a predicted model, not a curated record.
AUAUUCUAGGAAACUUGGUGAGGGAUCCCAUUAGUUAAUAACCACACUACAUGCAGUCAUAAAAGGAUUCCUCAAAGGGAUAGUUAAGACCAUUGUAAGAAUGUCUUCCUUGAUAAAUGGGAAAUGAUCCCUGAGCAGACAUGGGGAAUGGAAACGUGACUCAUGGCACUCCCUUGAUAUAGGAAUGAUUCCCUCAUUUCUGAGGACCUGACAAAUUGUCCCUAAGAAGAGAGAAUGGAACGUUGCUUAGAGAUGGCUUACUCAGGACCUAGCCUCCUGUUGCCAGUCUUGACCAGACCCUGCCAAGUUAAGGAAGCUUUCCAUCUGAUUUCUUGUCAGUAUUUGUAAUUUGUAGUGAAAACUUUUUUGUACUUGUCCUCUGAGCGUUCGUGAUUAAUUGUGCUCUGGGUAGGUUAUUACACACAUCAUCUACUUUGAUUCAUAGGAGUUUCUGUUUGGAGAGAGGAGCUAGAAAUGAAACUGCCUGUAGACUAUAACUUUCUGACCUUAUCCAGGAUGUGGUUUCUUUUUAGUACUCUUGGGAGGCUGGAGAAAAUGGUAGGAAGACAGUCAGUACUGUCCAAUGUUUGGAACAAAUCUCAAGGACCAGGACUAUGUUUAUCAUGUCUUCUUUUAAUAUUUCACAUGGUCAUGGGAAUGUUACGGAUUCUUGCUGUGGUUCAAUUUUCCCACUUGGAAAACAGAUUAGAAUUUCUGUCUGCCUUCUUUAUACUAUUGGCUACAUAGAACUUCCCAGGAAAUCCCAGGAUCUGAAGCUUACUUGUGGGUCAUAAGGGGAGAAAUGUGUAUGUACAUGUAUGUUAAUUCAUAUUUAGUAUAUAUAUUUUAUGUUAGUAUGUUACCUAAUUAAACCAGUGUUUAUACUCCAUUUUAAACAAGGCUCUCAUCAUUACGCACUCUCAGGAUAGAGAAAAAAAAGCAGUGUUUAGCUUUGUGAACAAAAUAGUAAACACAAGCACAAGUAAUCAAUUUACAAAGCAUAUCAAGCAUCAUUAUGAUGUGCCACAAAAGCCACAUAGAUACACACAGAGCUGCCUAAUCUUAAUUUUAAGCAAAAACAAAACAAAACAAAACCACCACCACCAACAACAAACUAAGAACCCUAAGAACCAAAAUGAUUUCUUUUUUUUAAAAAAGAAACUAAUCUGACAAACAAGUAACUAACUCUAAAGUGAACUGGACUGACAGGGAACUACGGUUUCACCUUCUGAAUCAAGACUGAUAAUUAGCUAAUGAUAAUUACCAUUCAGACCUAAACCAAUACAGGAUGUAUGUUAAAAUAAAGAUGGAAUAAGAACUAAUAAUCAAGGGCUGGCUGGUUAGCUCAGUUGGUUAGAGUGGGGUGUUAUAACACCAAGGUUCAAAAGUUCAAAUCCCCAUAUACCAGCCACCAAAAAAACCCAAAAAAACUUAAGAACAAGUAAUCACAGCAGGAUUGAUUUAACAAAUUAUUCAUUUUUCUUGUUUACAUUGCCAAAACAAAUCGUGAGUUUAACAAUUUCUUAGUUAAGAUCUUUCAUGCCAAAAAGUUAUUCAAUUUUUAAAUUUUCACAAAUAUAUUUUUAUUUCAUAAAGUACUAAUUUCAUUAAGGAGCCAAAAUUAACCAACACUGGACUAUGCAGAUCAAUCAGGAUCUAAGAUUUAAAUUUUUUAAACUGAGAAAACUUAGGCACAAUUUACAAAUUUGCUAAUUAUUUGUCCCCGUAUAACCCUUGGGUGUGGCUGUAUAUACGUUUAUAUUACACGUGUGACAUCAGCUGAACCAGGAAGAAAAUCUCCUGCUCUAAGUACAUUUUUACAACUGUUGUCUCCAGUCAAGUAAGACUAUAGAGAAAAAGUGAUUAAUUCUGGAACUCACCGAGAAGGUUCUAGAUCAAGACACAAGACUCUAGUAGCAUUGUCUUAUUUAUUAACAUAAUCGAAACAUUUUGCUGAUAAAACCCUUGUCCGUGACUAUUCUAGCAACAAAAUUUUACUCAAAAUACUUCACUGUGGAAUGGUAUUGCAACUUGAAUGUAGUUUUUAAUCAAUGAAUUGAUUUCCAUAAAGCAAAUUUUACUCUUAAAAUGGCAGAUUAUGUGACCAAAAAGUGAUUCGAAAAAAGCUUCCCCCUCCCCAUGCCAACCCUCAAGACCACGUGGCUCAAGCUGAGCCCUGGGUCCUGGGACUAGACGGAAGGUGAAAGGAAAGAGCCGUAACUCUUCCCUAACUAACCGAAACAGGCUAAUAGGACACUCCAAACUCACACUACAGAGAAAGCACAUGGAGGGUUGAGUUUUCUGGGCAGCUAGGAGGGUGCAGACUGGAUGACCUGGGCAGAGCACGUUCACCAUCAUUACCACGAUGCUAUUCCUAAGGUGUCCUAACUGUCUGAGCUGCAAAA